Molecule: ribosomal RNA, 725 nt
Filed under: Bacillus sp. 73B4_12EMannit
Lineage: Bacteria; Bacillati; Bacillota; Bacilli; Caryophanales; Bacillaceae
Description: bacterial SSU rRNA
Rfam family: Bacterial small subunit ribosomal RNA
Source: RNAcentral
ACAUGCAGUCGAGCGGACAGAUGGGAGCUUGCUCCCUGAUGUUAGCGGCGGACGGGUGAGUAACACGUGGGUAACCUGCCUGUAAGACUGGGAUAACUCCGGGAAACCGGGGCUAAUACCGGAUGGUUGUUUGAACCGCAUGGUUCAAACAUAAAAGGUGGCUUCGGCUACCACUUACAGAUGGACCCGCGGCGCAUUAGCUAGUUGGUGAGGUAACGGCUCACCAAGGCAACGAUGCGUAGCCGACCUGAGAGGGUGAUCGGCCACACUGGGACUGAGACACGGCCCAGACUCCUACGGGAGGCAGCAGUAGGGAAUCUUCCGCAAUGGACGAAAGUCUGACGGAGCAACGCCGCGUGAGUGAUGAAGGUUUUCGGAUCGUAAAGCUCUGUUGUUAGGGAAGAACAAGUACCGUUCGAAUAGGGCGGUACCUUGACGGUACCUAACCAGAAAGCCACGGCUAACUACGUGCCAGCAGCCGCGGUAAUACGUAGGUGGCAAGCGUUGUCCGGAAUUAUUGGGCGUAAAGGGCUCGCAGGCGGUUUCUUAAGUCUGAUGUGAAAGCCCCCGGCUCAACCGGGGAGGGUCAUUGGAAACUGGGGAACUUGAGUGCAGAAGAGGAGAGUGGAAUUCCACGUGUAGCGGUGAAAUGCGUAGAGAUGUGGAGGAACACCAGUGGCGAAGGCGACUCUCUGGUCUGUAACUGACGCUGAGGAGCGAAAGCG